Molecule: ribosomal RNA, 506 nt
Filed under: uncultured Oscillibacter sp.
Lineage: Bacteria; Bacillati; Bacillota; Clostridia; Eubacteriales; Oscillospiraceae
Description: partial 16S ribosomal RNA
Source: RNAcentral
CACGUAGUUAGCCGUGGCUUAUUCAAGAGGUACCGUCUUCUGCUCUUCCCUCUUAAAAGAAGUUUACAACCCGAAAGCCUUCUUCCUUCACGCGGCGUUGCUGGGUCAGGCUUGCGCCCAUUGCCCCAAUAUUCCCCACUGCUGCCUCCCGUAGGAGUCUGGGCCGUAUCUCAGUCCCAAUGUGGCCGGUCAACCUCUCAGUCCGGCUACUGAUCGUCGCCUAGGUGGGCCGUUACCCCGCCUACCUAGCUAAUCAGACGCGAGGCCAUCUUCCAGCGAUAAAUCUUUGGUGUCUCGAUGAUGCCAUCGAAACACAUCAUGCGGUAUUAGCAGUCGUUUCCAACUGUUGUCCCCCGUCUGGAAGGCAGGUUCCCUCACGCGUUACUCACCAGUCCGCCACUAAGCAUUCCCUUCCAUUGUCCGAAAACUCUUUCAGGGGUGCUCCGUUCGACUUGCAUGUGUUAAGCACGCCGCCAGCGUCUCGUCGUGCCAGGACUCGAAACUAC